CUACACGACGCUCUUCCGAUCUCGGAUGCCUUGGCGUCAAGAGGCGAUGAAGGACGUGGCACGCUGCGAAAAGCCAUGGGGAGCCGCGAGCAGGCUUUGAUCCAUGGAUAUCCGAAUGGGGAAACCCGGCUCUUAUGAGUCAUCCCUGACUGAAUACAUAGGUCAGGGAAGCAAACCCGGCGAAUUGAAACAUCUCAGUAGCCGGAGGAAAGGACAUCAACCGAGACUCUGUUAGUAGCGGCGAGCGAACGCGGACCAGGCCAGUGGCGCUUGGAUUUAAACCGGAACCGUCUGGAAAGUCGGGCCAUAGCGGGUGAUAGCCCCGUACGGGUAAAAAAUCCUUGCGUCCUCGAGUAGGGCGGAACACGUGAAAUUCUGUCUGAACAUGGGGGGACCACCCUCCAAGCCUAAGUACUCCUUGACGACCGAUAGCGCACAAGUACCGUGAGGGAAAGGUGAAAAGUACCCCUAGCGGGGAGUGAAACAGACCUGAAACCGAACGCCUACAAGCAGUGGGAGCCCGUAAGGGUGACCGCGUACCUUUUGUAUAAUGGGCCAGCGAGUUAGUCUCUCGAGCAAGCUUAAGCCGUUAGGCGUAGGCGGAGCGAAAGCGAGUCUGAAUAGGGCGACAGAGUUCGAGGGAUUAGACCCGAAGCCGAGCGAUCUAGCCAUGGGCAGGUUGAAGGUGCAGUGACAUGCACUGGAGGACCGAACCCACCUCUGUUGAAAAAGGGGGGGAUGACCUGUGGUUAGGGGUGAAAGGCCAAUCAAGCUCGGCGAUAGCUGGUUCUCCGCGAAAGCUAUUUAGGUAGCGCGUCAUGUAUUGCCAUCGGGGGUAGAGCACUGGAUAGGCUAGGGGGCCGCGAGGCUUACCAAACUUAACCAAACUCCGAAUACCGAUGAGUAUGAGCAUGGCAGACAGACUACGGGUGCUAAGGUCCGUAGUCGAGAGGGAAACAGCCCUGACCUUCAGCUAAGGCCCCUAAAUCACGACUAAGUGGGAAAGGAUGUGGGACAGCCAAGACAGCCAGGAGGUUGGCUUAGAAGCAGCCAUCCUUUAAAAAGCGUAACAGCUCACUGGUCUAAUUAAGCCGUCCCGCGCCGAAGAUGUACCGGGGCUCAAGUCGUGUGCCGAAGCUAAGGAUUUACUCUAUGAGUAAGUGGUAGCGGAGCGUUCCGUUCAGCGCUGAAGGGAUACCCGUGAGGGAUCCUGGAGCGGACGGAAGUGAGAAUGCUGGCAUGAGUAGCGAUAAAGAGUGUGAGAAACACUCUCGCCGAAAGUCCAAGGGUUCCUCGGCAAGGUUAAUCCUCCGAGGGUGAGCCGGCUCCUAAGGCGAGGCCGAAAGGCGUAGUCGAUGGGAAUGAGGUUAAUAUUCCUCAGCCUGCUGGAAGUGACGGAUACCGGAAGCUGUAUGCUCUUAUUGGAUUGAGCAUGCGGCCUGGGUGUCCCAGGAAAUAGCUCCAGCGUAAGACCGUACCCCAAACCGACACAGGUGGACAGGCAGAGUAUGCUAAGGCGCUUGAGAGAACGGCGUUGAAGGAACUCGGCAAAUUACCCUCGUAACUUCGGGAGAAGAGGGCCCCGUUCGUAGGCAACUAUGGGCGGGGGGCACAGACUAGGGGGUGGCGACUGUUUACUAAAAACACAGGACUCUGCGAAGUCUUUAAGACGACGUAUAGGGUCUGACGCCUGCCCGGUGCCGGAAGGUUAAGAGGAGAGGUGAGAGCCUUGAAUUGAAGCCCCGGUAAACGGCGGCCGUAACAAUAACGGUCCUAAGGUAGCGAAAUUCCUUGUCGGGU
Molecule: ribosomal RNA, 1800 nt
Filed under: seawater metagenome
Description: bacterial LSU rRNA
Rfam family: Bacterial large subunit ribosomal RNA
Source: RNAcentral